GAAUCUCUCCUGUUCACGCAUUAUUUUGUUGCAGGGAAUCUCUCCUGUUCACAUCAUUUCUUGCAGGGAAUCUCUCCUGUUCAUGUAUUAUUUCUUUUUGGACCUGGUGAUGGUUACCGAAGUGGUAUCAUCUGCAAGAUCCACCGUUUUGAUUGAGGAUGCCGGAGAUUCAUCUUCAGAUUCGGAGUCCAAUGAGCUGAGCAUUUCAGCCAUGAGUUUUUUGUAUUCUUUUUUGGUCUUGGCUUGAGCUAACAUUGCACUGGCUGUUGACUUUGCUUGAAGAAAUUUUGCUGUGGUUUGAUCCGGGGCUGCAGACUUACAUAAUCUUGGAUUCUUGUUGAAAAAAUUAUCCAAAUAUUUU
Molecule: long non-coding RNA, 361 nt
Filed under: Gossypium barbadense (sea-island cotton)
Lineage: Eukaryota; Viridiplantae; Streptophyta; Magnoliopsida; Malvales; Malvaceae
Description: long non-coding RNA (GBAR_LNC020302)
Source: RNAcentral